ACACUCCUACGGGAGGCAGCAGUGGGGAAUUUUGGACAAUGGGCGAAAGCCUGAUCCAGCAAUGCCGCGUGCAGGAUGAAGGCCUUCGGGUUGUAAACUGCUUUUGUACGGAACGAAAAAGCUCCUUCUAAUACAGGGGGCCCAUGACGGUACCGUAAGAAUAAGCACCGGCUAACUACGUGCCAGCAGCCGCGGUAAUACGUAGGGUGCGAGCGUUAAUCGGAAUUACUGGGCGUAAAGCGUGCGCAGGCGGUUAUGUAAGACAGAUGUGAAAUCCCCGGGCUCAACCUGGGAACUGCAUUUGUGACUGCAUGGCUAGAGUACGGUAGAGGGGGAUGGAAUUCCGCGUGUAGCAGUGAAAUGCGUAGAUAUGCGGAGGAACACCGAUGGCGAAGGCAAUCCCCUGGACCUGUACUGACGCUCAUGCACGAAAGCGUGGGGAGCAAACAGGAUUAGAUACCCCAGUAGUCCCAUGAU
RNAcentral lists this ribosomal RNA (477 nucleotides) under uncultured organism. RNAcentral describes it as "partial 16S ribosomal RNA". It matches the Rfam family "Bacterial small subunit ribosomal RNA", at positions 333 to 801 of the family's 1533-position model. The record is from RNAcentral.